RNAcentral lists this ribosomal RNA (495 nucleotides) under uncultured bacterium. RNAcentral describes it as "partial 16S ribosomal RNA". It matches the Rfam family "Bacterial small subunit ribosomal RNA", at positions 28 to 507 of the family's 1533-position model. The record is from RNAcentral.
GACGAACGCUGGCGGCGUGCCUAAUACAUGCAAGUAGAACGCUGAAGGAGGAGCUUGCUCUUCUGGAUGAGUUGCGAACGGGUGAGUAACGCGUAGGUAACCUGCCUGGUAGCGGGGGAUAACUAUUGGAAACGAUAGCUAAUACCGCAUAACAGUAGAUGUUGCAUGACAUUUACUUAAAAGGUGCAAUUGCAUCACUACCAGAUGGACCUGCGUUGUAUUAGCUAGUUGGUGGGGUAACGGCUCACCAAGGCGACGAUACAUAGCCGACCUGAGAGGGUGAGCGGCCACACUGGGACUGAGACACGGCCCAGACUCCUACGGGAGGCAGCAGUAGGGAAUCUUCGGCAAUGGACGGAAGUCUGACCGGGCAACGCCGCGUGAGUGAAGAAGGUUUUCGGAUCGUAAAGCUCUGUUGUAAGAGAAGAACGAGUGUGAGAGUGGAAAGUUCACACUGUGACGGUAUCUUACCAGAAAGGGACGGCUAACUACGUG